This is a transfer RNA of 78 nucleotides. It matches the Rfam family "tRNA", at positions 1 to 60 of the family's 71-position model. Rfam says of the family: Transfer RNA (tRNA) molecules are approximately 80 nucleotides in length. Their secondary structure includes four short double-helical elements and three loops (D, anti-codon, and T loops).
GGACCGGUAGCUUAGCCUGGUUAGAGCGCUACGCUGAUAACGUAGAGGUCAGGAGUUCAAAAACAAGCCCCCUCGCCU